Long non-coding RNA from Bactrocera neohumeralis, 1609 nucleotides. RefSeq lists it as uncharacterized. The transcript is spliced from 2 exons. The record is from RefSeq and is a predicted model, not a curated record. Lineage: Eukaryota; Metazoa; Arthropoda; Insecta; Diptera; Tephritidae.
ACAACAAUCGCAUACAUCACGUGUUCCAUGUCAUAAAAUUUUUUGGAAAGUUUUUAUGAAGACGACCAUUUCUCGAAGUAAUAUACAGAAGCAGUUCUUGAAAAUAAAUUAAACUCUCUCAGCGGGAGGAUUGCGGUUCGCUGAAAGCUGUAUAAGGCAGAAGAACUUUCAUCCAUGGAAAAGAAAACAAGACCAACUUAUCACAAAAAUUACAAUAUAACAGUAAUUUUACUAUGGGACCUCAUAAAAUAUAAUUAAGGAUUACUGACCCCAAAAAUAAACAAAGGUCGUUGGCUGAAUUUAAAUAAAGGUUGUGGACUUGGCUAAAUGCAAACAAAAAGGUUAUAGAUCUCAUAAAAUGUACACAAAUGAUCAUUGACCCCAAAUAUAAACAAUGCUUGUUAACUUGGCUAAAUGUAAACAAUGGUUGUGGACUAGGAUAUAUGCGAACAAAAGGCUUACUGAUCUCAUAAAAUGUAAACAAGAGGAUCAAAAUGUAAAAAACGGGUCACUAACCCCAUACAAUUUAAGCAUACGUGUUAUUAACCCUAAAUAUAAACAAAGGUUCUUAGCAUGGAUAAAUGUAACAAAAAGUUGUGAACUUGGCUAAAUGUAAGCAAAAGGGUCAUCGAUCUCAUAAAUUUACCAUAUAUACAGCGCGUUCAAAAAAAUAAUGUUUUACCUUUGCGGGACAGUUCACGGAAAAAUGUUUUUAUUUUUUGCAAAUUAACACAUGUUCACACUCGAUCAUUGAUGCAUUAAUUGCCGAAUGGACUAUUAAAAAAGUGCAAAGUACCUAAAUAAAACAUUUGUAAAAAGGUGGCUCGAUAAAUAUGGAGAAACUGGAAAUGUCGAUGAUAAGCCAGAAAGAGUGAGGAAUGACGUGAUAUUUAAGCGUGAGGACAAAGCUAUUGUUCUUAUUUUUAAGGAGAAUGCACUACUCAGUCUAAGCCAGGCUUGAGCUGUUUUGUAGCAAAGGAGAUAAGUAGUAUGUACGAGUAUCUCAAUAUAAAAUACAGACUUCAGAGUAUCUGGCAUUAAACGAAGCAUAAGUUUAGUCGAACCCCUACUUUCGAUCAGAGGGACAAUUUAUGAUGACGGCUAUUGACCCGCAAAACUAUUUCGGUAUUGUUAUUAUACUAUGUGUCGGAUAAACUAUGAAGUAUAUACAUACAUAUAUAGUAAAGAAUCAGCAUGAAAAGCUGAAAGUAAACAAUAUAAACAUAAGGAUCAUUGACCCCAAAAAUAAACAAAAGGUUGUUAACUUGGCUAAAUGUAGAUAAAGGUUGUUGACUUAGCUAUGUAUUUUCAAAAAUUAAUUAAAAUGUAAACGAAAUGUAAAUUACCCUUGAAGUGUAAAAGAAAGUUGCACAUGUUCUGUUUUUAUCCAAGAAACCGAAACCGUCGAUAUCUGACCACUAUAGCAUACAGCUGCCAUACAAACUGAACGAUUGGAAUCAAUUGCUUGCACUUUUUCGUUUGACGAGUUAUGUCCAUCCAUUAUCACCAAAGAUAAUAAUGCAUUUGAUCGGUAUUAAAUUUUUGUAAGCAGCCUUUUGUAUAUGUGAAGGGUAUUAUAACUUCGGUGUAAAUAAAGUAAAAUUUUGUA